CGGGGUGUAGCGCAGUUGGCAGCGCAUCUGCUUUGGGAGCAGAGGGUCGCUGGUUCAAAUCCAGUCACCCCGA
Molecule: transfer RNA, 73 nt
Filed under: Deferribacteraceae bacterium
Lineage: Bacteria; Pseudomonadati; Deferribacterota; Deferribacteres; Deferribacterales; Deferribacteraceae
Description: tRNA-Pro
Rfam family: tRNA
About the family: Transfer RNA (tRNA) molecules are approximately 80 nucleotides in length. Their secondary structure includes four short double-helical elements and three loops (D, anti-codon, and T loops).
Source: RNAcentral